CUACCUGCUUCGGUCUCUCCCCCCGCUGAAGAUUCUGAGGAGCCUGCUGGAUCAGAAGGGAGGAUUCUUCAAUUCAGGAUGAGAAUGGAGGCAGGAGCAUGCUGGAACAAGAAGUCUCUGCACAGCGGUCGGUGUGGUGCUUGCUCAGCCUCCACUUCGAUCUGUGCACAUUUCCUGGAUCCACAACACCUUCUGACAAGAGUGCCACAGGUCUGCCACCCUGCUCCCAGGAACGUGAACUUCAGCUGCUUGAACAGAGACUUUGGCUUCACCUUCCUAAGGCCCAGACCUAAAGAAAGUUCUUUUCAUUCCCUGCCACUUCCAACCAAGUGUUUUUGAUGACAGAGUAGCACCGCUGUGUAACAAGAUAGAUCAGGUCAGCAGAUAACUCCCCAAUUACCUAGCAGCUGAAUUAACAACUACUAAGACAGAGGCAAACACCUGCUCAUCAUACAGAUUCUUCUGAAGUAUAGAAUGUUCUUUGUGGUGCUGGAGUACAGAUGCCAGCUUUGAUUCACGGUAACUUCUUUAAAUGAACCAAUAAUGGGUUAUGGAAAGCUAGAAGCUAGUUUCUGAAAACAGUUAAGUGCCUGAAUUACUUUUUCAAAGCCUGACUAAAUUAUAAACAAAAGGCCAUUUGGUCAGUAAGUGUUGUUAGUAUGGUGUUAAGUCAGAGACUUAACAGAGACAAGUUCUCCCCUUAAGACAGGGUUUG
Long non-coding RNA from Falco peregrinus (peregrine falcon), 715 nucleotides. RefSeq lists it as uncharacterized. NCBI's taxonomy places the organism in Eukaryota, Metazoa, Chordata, Aves, Falconiformes, Falconidae. The transcript has 2 exons. The record is from RefSeq and is a predicted model, not a curated record.